RNAcentral lists this transfer RNA (73 nucleotides) under Mus musculus (house mouse). RNAcentral describes it as "tRNA-Ser". Lineage: Eukaryota; Metazoa; Chordata; Mammalia; Rodentia; Muridae. The record is from RNAcentral.
GGAGAGAUGGCUCAGUGGUUAAGAGCACUGACUGCUCUUCCAGAGGUCCUGAGUUCAAUUCCCGGUAACCACA